RNAcentral lists this transfer RNA (64 nucleotides) under Xyloredo nooi. RNAcentral describes it as "tRNA-Leu". The record is from RNAcentral. Lineage: Eukaryota; Metazoa; Mollusca; Bivalvia; Myida; Pholadidae.
GUUGAGGUGGCAGAGAAAUAUGCAUUAGACUUAAAAUCUAAGGACAAACUAAGUUUUCUUAACA